This 408-nucleotide ribosomal RNA is filed under the name uncultured bacterium. Its description in RNAcentral is "partial 16S ribosomal RNA". It matches the Rfam family "Bacterial small subunit ribosomal RNA", at positions 29 to 526 of the family's 1533-position model. The record is from RNAcentral.
AGUGAACGCUGGCGGCGUGCCUAAUACAUGCAAGUCGAACGAAGUGGCGCACGGGUGAGUAAUAUAUAGUUAAUCUGCCCUCCACUGAGGAACAACAGUUGGAAACAGCUGCAAAUACCUCAUAGUGUAGGAUGAGACGAUAUCGUAUCAGCUAGUUGGUAAGGUAAUGGCUUACCAAGGGUAUGACGCGUAACAGGUCUGAGAGGAUGAUCAGCCAACUUGGAACUGAGGCACGGGUCAAAAUCAUUCGGGAAGGAGCAGUAAGGAAAAGUGCGCAAGGGGGGUAUACCAGGCGGAGCAACGGGGCGUGGAGGACUUCAAGUGGCGGAGCGUAAACUCAUUUUAUCAGGAAAGCGGUACCUGAUGAAUAAGCACCGGCUAACUCCGUGCCAGCAGCCGCGGUAAUAC